UACGAAGGGGGCUAGCGUUGCUCGGAUUGACUGGGCGUAAAGGGCGCGUAGGCGGUUCGUACAGUCAGACGUGAAAUUCCUGGGCUCAACCUGGGGGCUGCGUUUGAUACGUGCGGACUUGAGUGCGGAAGAGGGUCGUGGAAUUCCCAGUGUAGAGGUGAAAUUCGUAGAUAUUGGGAAGAACACCGGUGGCGAAGGCGGGUUGCUGGGCUGACACUGACGCUGAUGCGCGAAAGCCAGGGGAGCGAACGGG
This 253-nucleotide ribosomal RNA is filed under the name uncultured bacterium. Its description in RNAcentral is "partial 16S ribosomal RNA". It matches the Rfam family "Bacterial small subunit ribosomal RNA", at positions 524 to 776 of the family's 1533-position model. The record is from RNAcentral.